RNAcentral lists this ribosomal RNA (497 nucleotides) under uncultured bacterium. RNAcentral describes it as "partial 16S ribosomal RNA". It matches the Rfam family "Bacterial small subunit ribosomal RNA", at positions 28 to 507 of the family's 1533-position model. The record is from RNAcentral.
GAUGAACGCUGGCGGCGUGCCUAAUACAUGCAAGUCGAGCGAACAGACGAGGAGCUUGCUCCUCUGACGUUAGCGGCGGACGGGUGAGUAACACGUGGAUAACCUACCUAUAAGACUGGGAUAACUUCGGGAAACCGGAGCUAAUACCGGAUAAUAUAUUGAACCGCAUGGUUCAAUAGUGAAAGACGGUUUUGCUGUCACUUAUAGAUGGAUCCGCGCCGCAUUAGCUAGUUGGUAAGGUAACGGCUUACCAAGGCAACGAUGCGUAGCCGACCUGAGAGGGUGAUCGGCCACACUGGAGCUGAGACACGGUCCAGACUCCUACGGGAGGCAGUAGUAGGGAAUCUUCCGCAAUGGGCGAAAGCCUGACGGAGCAACGCCGCGUGAGUGAUGAAGGUCUUCGGAUCGUAAAACUCUGUUAUUAGGGAAGAACAAAUGUGUAAGUAACUAUGCACGUCUUGACGGUACCUAAUCAGAAAGCCACGGCUAACUACGUG